This 117-nucleotide non-coding RNA is filed under the name Cyanoderma ruficeps (rufous-capped babbler). Lineage: Eukaryota; Metazoa; Chordata; Aves; Passeriformes; Timaliidae. The record is from RNAcentral.
GUGUUGUAUGAAAGGAGAAAUCAGCACUCCCCUUGGAAAGGAUGGAAGAGGCCCUUGCGGCCUAUACAAAAUGCAUACAGUUAAGGCACUGCCACCUAUUUUGUGGCAUCUAUGUGU